Long non-coding RNA from Physeter macrocephalus (sperm whale), 1556 nucleotides. RefSeq lists it as uncharacterized. The transcript has 3 exons. The record is from RefSeq and is a predicted model, not a curated record. NCBI's taxonomy places the organism in Eukaryota, Metazoa, Chordata, Mammalia, Artiodactyla, Physeteridae.
GAACAUCCAGAAAUCAGACGUGACCGGAGGGGAGAGGGGCUUCCUGAGGGAUUUCGGAGAAGGCUGAACAGGCAGGAGGAGCUGGCAAAGCUUUCUAAGCGAGGAAGCGAUCGUUAUGCCAGGGAGCAGAGUGGAAACUGUGGAUCUGAGAGCAAGUUCCUCCUGUGUCUCUGGUGGCACCACGCCUGGCACAGCCGGUACGGCAUAAAUGCUUGUUGAAAGAGCAGGCUCACCAAUCUACACCCCUGUCUGGAGGUAAUGUGUGCAGACCCUCCACGAGAUGAAUCCAGGCAGACUUGCUGGUCGCCGAUGGCGGCUGCAGGCACCGUCCCCUCCAGCCCCUUAGGCAGGUCCAGGCCUCCCCAAGAUUUCUUCCCAUCACACCUCUCUGCCCCGCAGUCCAGCUCUGCCCUGCCCCCGCUCGGAUUCUGCCUGUUGCUUUAUCUCCACCUUGGUAUCCACCCUGGCACGGGUGUGGCCUCAGGCCCUCUAUUUGAAACCCAAGUAAUAAUCAUAACAACAACAAAAGACGCUUCUGUGUGCUCUGGCUGAAGGUUUGGGGAGUUGAAGCAAGUUUGCAAACGCUCACAACUUAAAACGGAGCAUUAGCCUUCUGGUUGUGCUUAAGCAUCCGUAAGCCAUUUCUGCCUUCACCCCACUUCUUGCUUCUUCCUCUCCCUCCAGGCUUCUCCCCUUCUCUCUCUUCCCAAAUGCCUGUUCUUUGAUUAUGCGGGAUAGUUUAAGGUGUUUGGGGUUUGGUUUGGUUUCUUGGUCUCCUUUCCUGCCAACGCUGACCGGUUCACCUUUCACCCUUUAGUGGUGUACUUUCGUAAACAAAGCCCUUUUGUUCCCUGAGAAGAAUGCUGGUCCCAUAAGGAAUUUUCCACCCACCGACCCCACCCCUGCUCCUUGGCUGUAAAUCCCCACCUGCCUGCGCUGUGUUCAGAGCUGAGACCAAUCUCUCUCCCACUGCAAGACCCCACUGCCCGGGUCCCUGCCCCCGUCGCCAUGGCCCCCCUUUGAAUAAAGUCCGCUUUCCCGUCUUCACCAACUGUCAUUGAAUAAUUCUUUCUUUAGAAGGAAAAAAGACUUAACCUAGAGCACUUUGACUUGGUAUUUAAUCACAUGUUCCAUGGGUGGCCACACCGUAUAAAGGGUAGAAAGCAGAGGUGAAACAUGCCCGUGGUGCUGGGAGCAGACGGGACAGGAAAAGCGCUCUUCCCCGUGACCUUGUAUGGGAAGAAGUAACACUCCAGGGCCGCUAAUUGGUUUUCAGAGAUGGAGCUGAUGGAGGGAAGAGGAGGGGCUCGCUGGGUCAGCUCUGGGGAUGAGGAAGAGUGGGGAAGGUGGAAAGAGAAGCCGUUUGGAGGAAGGAGAAAAUAUAAGUUUUACAGGUAUGAAGUAGGAGGAAACAGAAGCCGAGAGGCAGCCACCCGAGCUGUGAACAAGAAGUGCCCGGCAAUACCAAGGCCAGGGCUAGAGAAUGCUCUGGACCAGCAGGUGUGGGCCGUGCUCAGCAGAGAACGUCUCCAGGGGCAGCACCUGGUCCUCAGCCC